This 815-nucleotide long non-coding RNA is filed under the name Salmo salar (Atlantic salmon). Its description in RNAcentral is "lncRNA (ENSSSAG00000109580.1)". The record is from RNAcentral. Lineage: Eukaryota; Metazoa; Chordata; Actinopteri; Salmoniformes; Salmonidae.
GACGGGGAAAGGGGUAGAGAGCGAGACGGGGAAAGGGGUAGAGAGAGAGCGAGACGGGGAAAGGGGUAGAGAGCGAGACGGGGAAAGGGGUAGAGAGAGAGCGAGACGGGGAAAGGGGUAGAGAGAGAGCGAGACGGGGAAAGGGGUAGAGCGAGACGGGGAAAGGGGGAGAGCGAGAGAGAGCGAGAGAAAGGGAGAGCGAGAGAGAGCGAGCAAAAGGGAGAGAGAGCGAGCGAGAGAAAGGGAGAGAGCGAGAGAAAGGGAGAACGAGAGAGGGAAAGGCGAGAGGAGAAAGAGGGAAAGGGGGAGAGAGAAAGAGAGCGAGGGCGAGAGAAAGUAGAGAGAGGAGAGGGAAAGGGGGAGAGAGAGAAAAGAGCGGGAGAGAGGGGAUGGGGAGAGGGGAAGAAGAUCGAGGGGAAGGGAGAGAGCGAGAGAAAGGGAAAGAGGGAAAGGGAGAGAGGACGAGAGAAAGGGAGAGCGAGCGAGAGAAAGGGAGAGCGAGCGAGAGACAGGGGGAGAGAGCGAGAGACAGGGGGAGAGACAGGGCAAGGGGGAAAGGGAGAGGAGAGCGAGGGAAAAGGAGAGGAGAGAGAGCGAGGGAAAAGGAGAGGAGAGAGAGAGAAAGGAGCGAGAGAGCGAGACGAGCGAGAGAGAGAAAGGAGAGCGAGAGAGCGAGAGAAAGGGAGAGCGAGAGAGAGCGAGCAAAAAGGGAGAGAGAGCGAGCGAGAGAAAGGGAGAGAGCGAGAGAAAGGGAGAACGAGAGAGGGAAAGGCGAGAGGAGAAAGAGGGAAAGGGGGAGAGAGAAAGAGAGCGAG